AGUAGCCGCGGGAAUACGUAGGUGGCAAGCGUUGUCCGGAAUUAUUGGGCGUAAAGGGUGCGUAGGCGGUUUGAUAAGUCUUGUGUGAAAUCUAUGGGCUCAACCCAUAGUCUGCACGAGAAACUGUCUGGCUUGAGUGUGGGAGAGGUGAGUGGAAUUUCCGGUGUAGCGGUGAAAUGCGUAGAUAUCGGGAGGAACACCUGUGGCGAAAGCGGCUCACUGGACCACAACUGACGCUGAGACACGAAAGCUAGGGGAGCAAACAGGAUUAGAUACCCGCGUAGUCCCUGUCUCUUAUACA
This 301-nucleotide ribosomal RNA is filed under the name uncultured bacterium. RNAcentral describes it as "partial 16S ribosomal RNA". It matches the Rfam family "Bacterial small subunit ribosomal RNA", at positions 510 to 808 of the family's 1533-position model. The record is from RNAcentral.